Non-coding RNA from Sphingomonadales bacterium, 157 nucleotides. NCBI's taxonomy places the organism in Bacteria, Pseudomonadati, Pseudomonadota, Alphaproteobacteria, Sphingomonadales. The record is from Rfam.
CUGGGACUGCCUGGUACGAGCUGCAGAGAACAUCCCUGAGGCGAUACAUCUUCCAAGGGAGCUGUCCCUGUCCUGGCUCCGGCCAGAGGCACACGGCGCCCACCUGACGUUACUGGCGUCAGAGGAUAUUCCAGCAAACGGCCAAGGCGGUUCCAAC